Molecule: ribosomal RNA, 440 nt
Filed under: uncultured bacterium
Lineage: Bacteria
Description: partial 16S ribosomal RNA
Rfam family: Bacterial small subunit ribosomal RNA
Source: RNAcentral
CCUACGGGUGGCAGCAGUGGGGAAUAUUGCACAAUGGGGGAAACACUGAUGCAGCAAAGCCGCGUGAGUGAUGACGGCCUUCGGGUUGUAAAGCUCUGUCUUCAGGGACGAAAAUGAUGGUACCUGCAACGGCAGCACCGGCUAACUCCGUGCCAGAAGCCGCGGUAAUACGGCGGGUGCGAGCGUUAAUCGGAAGUACUGGGCGUAAAGCGCUCGUAGGCGGUAUGUCAAGGCAAGGGUGAAAGCCCCGGGCUCAACGUGGGAACUGCCUUUGAAACUGGAAAACUGGAGUGUGUGAGAGGAGAGUGGAAUUCCAGGUGUAGGAGUGAAAUCCGUAGAUAUCGGGAGGAACACCAGUGGCGAAGGCGACUAGCUGGCACAUAACUGACGCUGAGGAGCGAAAGCGUGGGUAGCAAACAGGAUUAGAUACCCGGGUAGUC